GUCUGGUUGGGAGGAAGCCUCUCCUCGAUCCCUGAUAGAUCCUCCCUGUCCCGUUUCCUUUUAUUGAUGGGACACUUUUAUUUCCCGAAGUUAAAACACACGUUUGAUAGUUGCCAAAAUUGUGAAAAGGGAGAUCGUUCUCUGCUUUAACUUUCCCUUUUAACGUGUAUAGACUUUUACUUUGAGCCAAAAUAAUGCUGCUGAUGGUCUCUCCCGCCGCCCUAGCCUCCUUCACCAAUCC
RNAcentral lists this long non-coding RNA (241 nucleotides) under Homo sapiens (human). RNAcentral's name for it is "LHRI_LNC1975.1". The record is from RNAcentral. Lineage: Eukaryota; Metazoa; Chordata; Mammalia; Primates; Hominidae.